ACAGAACGCACGGGGUGCUGGAAUUUAUUCCGGCUGAGAUCAUACCCGAAACCUGAUUUGGAUAAUGCCAACGUAGGGAUGCAGGCCGGAAUUCCA
Molecule: non-coding RNA, 96 nt
Filed under: Cyclobacterium lianum
Lineage: Bacteria; Pseudomonadati; Bacteroidota; Cytophagia; Cytophagales; Cyclobacteriaceae
Description: TPP sequence
Rfam family: TPP riboswitch aptamer (THI element)
About the family: Vitamin B(1) in its active form thiamin pyrophosphate (TPP) is an essential coenzyme that is synthesised by coupling of pyrimidine and thiazole moieties in bacteria.
Source: Rfam by way of RNAcentral